UAUGAUUAAACGCGAUCGGAGUGAAUUUAGUGUUUUACUCGAUAGAUUGAAUAAAUAGGCUAUGAAAUUAUAUUCAUGUAUAUCGAGUAGUAUUUCUCAGUGAUAUUAUUACAAUAAAAAUUAAAUCCGAUGCACGAUCAAAUAAUCACCGUCACGUUGAGUUAUAAAUUGAAUAAUUUUCAAACAGUUGUCCUACGAUAAUGGGGACGGGUGCAGUCACUGUUAUAGGUAAUUUAAUGUACAUUAACGU
Non-coding RNA from Cinara cedri, 250 nucleotides. NCBI's taxonomy places the organism in Eukaryota, Metazoa, Arthropoda, Insecta, Hemiptera, Aphididae. The record is from the annotation of a GenBank genome assembly.